CCUUAUUAAACCCCACUGCACUACAUUUACUACACACACACACACAUUGACUAUGCAUUGACUAUACACAUUGCAUACAAUAAACACACACAGCAACUCCUACACAGACACUGCAUUCACUACACACACUGUAUAACAUAACAGACGUGCGCAAAAUUUUGGGAGGGCAGCAUUUCAUCCUUGGACUCAGGCAGCACAAUGUCUUGGGCCGGCCCUGUAC
Non-coding RNA from Pelobates cultripes (western spadefoot toad), 220 nucleotides. NCBI's taxonomy places the organism in Eukaryota, Metazoa, Chordata, Amphibia, Anura, Pelobatidae. The record is from the annotation of a GenBank genome assembly.